RNAcentral lists this ribosomal RNA (253 nucleotides) under uncultured bacterium. RNAcentral's name for it is "partial 16S ribosomal RNA". It matches the Rfam family "Bacterial small subunit ribosomal RNA", at positions 524 to 776 of the family's 1533-position model. The record is from RNAcentral.
UACGUCGGGGGCUAGCGUUGUCCGGAUUUAUUGGGCGUAAAGAGCGUGUAGGCGGCCAGGUAGGUCUGCUGUGAAAACUCGAGGCUCAACCUCGAGACGUCGGCGGAAACCAUCUGGCUAGAGUCCGGAAGAGGAGAGUGGAAUUCCUGGUGUAGCGGUGAAAUGCGCAGAUAUCAGGAAGAACACCCGUGGCGAAGGCGGCUCUCUGGGACGGUACUGACGCUGAGACGCGAAAGCGUGGGGAGCGAACAGG